Molecule: ribosomal RNA, 381 nt
Filed under: uncultured bacterium
Lineage: Bacteria
Description: bacterial SSU rRNA
Rfam family: Bacterial small subunit ribosomal RNA
Source: RNAcentral
AAUCAACGCUGGCGGCGUGCCUCAGACAUGCAAGUCGAACGAUUAAAGCUCUCUUCGGAGAGUGCAUAGAGUGGCGCACGGGUGAGUAACACGUAAGUAAUCUACCUUUGAGUGGGAAUACCGUCCGGAACGGACGCUAAUACCGCAUAAUGCAGCGGCAUCGCAAGAUGACAGUUGUUAAAGAUUUAUCGCUUGAAGAGGAGCUUGCGGCAGAUUAGCUAGUUGGUAAGGUAAUGGCUUACCAAGGCUACGAUCUGUAACCGGUCUAAGAGGACGGUCGGUCACACUGACACUGAACAACGGGUCAGACUCCUACGGGAGGCAGCAGUCGGGAAUUUUGGGCAAUGGGCGAAAGCCUGACCCAGCAACGCCGCGUGAAGG